UUUUUCAUGAUUGCUUUCAUUUUCAGUGGACUGACCAGAUGCAAGGUACGAUUGAACUGAAAGGAGAAGGGCAUUUUCAUCAAAGGCCUGCUAUUUGCAAAGUUUGUUGGCUUUGGUCUGCAACUACAACUUGCACAGGAUUAUACCAAUUUACAGGGUCCAAAGUGGCGGAAGAUUCUGCAGCUGUGGAAGCCAUCAGGUGGCUCGUGAGUGAUGAUCAAUCAAUUCGAAGAACCGCUUGCUUCGGCACUGUUAUUGCCCAACUAUGUAUAUACCACUAGCCACAAAGCCGUUUCAGUGAAUUUCUCUUCGACCAUUCACCUUUUGUAGGAAUGCUUUGCUCUGAAUAUUAUGUUGCAUCAAAAUUGCUGGAUGCUCUCUCAGACAACCUUGACUACUUUGUAUAAAUAUGCUGUACUUAAAGUAUUCUGU
Triticum dicoccoides is the source of this 432-nucleotide long non-coding RNA. RefSeq lists it as uncharacterized. Lineage: Eukaryota; Viridiplantae; Streptophyta; Magnoliopsida; Poales; Poaceae. The transcript is spliced from 3 exons. The record is from RefSeq and is a predicted model, not a curated record.